CAGUAGCCACGGGAAUACGGAGGGGGCUAGCGUUGUUCGGAAUUACUGGGCGUAAAGCGUACGUAGGCGGCUUUGUAAGUUAGAGGUGAAAGCCUGGUGCUCAACACCAGAACUGCCUUUAAGACUGCAUCGCUUGAACGUCGGAGAGGUGAGUGGAAUUCCGAGUGUAGAGGUGAAAUUCGUAGAUAUUCGGAAGAACACCAGUGGCGAAGGCGGCUCACUGGACGACUGUUGACGCUGAGGUACGAAAGCGUGGGGAGCAAACAGGAUUAGAUACCCGCGUAGUCCCUGUCUCUUAUAA
This 301-nucleotide ribosomal RNA is filed under the name uncultured bacterium. Its description in RNAcentral is "partial 16S ribosomal RNA". It matches the Rfam family "Bacterial small subunit ribosomal RNA", at positions 509 to 809 of the family's 1533-position model. The record is from RNAcentral.